CAGUCGCCGCGGUAAAACGAAGGGGGCUAGCGUUGUUCGGAUUUACUGGGCGUAAAGGGCGCGUAGGCGGACUGAUAAGUCAGGGGUGAAAUCCCAAGGCUCAACCUUGGAACUGCCUUUGAUACUGUUUGUCUUGAGUUCGAGAGAGGUAAGUGGAACUGCGAGUGUAGAGGUGAAAUUCGUAGAUAUUCGGAAGAACACCAGUGGCGAAGGCGACACACUGGCUCAUUACUGACGCUGAGGCGCGAAAGCGUGGGGAGCAAACAGGAUUAGAUACCCCGGUAGUCCCUGUCUCUUAUAC
Molecule: ribosomal RNA, 301 nt
Filed under: uncultured bacterium
Lineage: Bacteria
Description: partial 16S ribosomal RNA
Rfam family: Bacterial small subunit ribosomal RNA
Source: RNAcentral